This 673-nucleotide ribosomal RNA is filed under the name bacterium IMCC8651. Its description in RNAcentral is "bacterial SSU rRNA". It matches the Rfam family "Bacterial small subunit ribosomal RNA", at positions 28 to 750 of the family's 1533-position model. The record is from RNAcentral.
AACGAACGCUGGCGGCAGGCCUAACACAUGCAAGUCGAGCGCACUUUCGGGUGAGCGGCGGACGGGUUAGUAACGCGUGGGAACGUACCCUUUUCUACGGAAUAGCCUUUGGAAACGAAGAGUAAUACCGUAUACGCCCUUUGGGGGAAAGAUUUAUCGGAGAAGGAUCGGCCCGCGUUAGAUUAGAUAGUUGGUGGGGUAACGGCCUACCAAGUCUACGAUCUAUAGCUGGUUUUAGAGGAUGAUCAGCAACACUGGGACUGAGACACGGCCCAGACUCCUACGGGAGGCAGCAGUGGGGAAUCCAGACAAUGGGCGCAAGCCUGAUCUAGCCAUGCCGCGUGAGUGAUGAAGGCCUUAGGGUCGUAAAGCUCUUUCGCCUGUGAUGAUAAUGACAGUAGCAGGUAAAGAAACCCCGGCUAACUCCGUGCCAGCAGCCGCGGUAAUACGGAGGGGGUUAGCGUUGUUCGGAAUUACUGGGCGUAAAGCGCACGUAGGCGGAUUGAAAAGUUGGGGGUGAAAUCCCGGGGCUCAACCCCGGAACUGCCUCCAAAACUAUCAGUCUAGAGUUCGAGAGAGGUGAGUGGAAUUCCAAGUGUAGAGGUGAAAUUCGUAGAUAUUUGGAGGAACACCAGUGGCGAAGGCGGCUCACUGGCUCGAUACUGACGCUGAG